AGAGAUUUAGGUUAACACAGACCAAGAGCCUUCAAAGCCCUCAGUGGGAGUUAAAAUCUCUCAAUCCCUG
This 70-nucleotide transfer RNA is filed under the name Lagocephalus laevigatus (smooth puffer). RNAcentral's name for it is "tRNA-Trp". It matches the Rfam family "tRNA". Rfam says of the family: Transfer RNA (tRNA) molecules are approximately 80 nucleotides in length. Their secondary structure includes four short double-helical elements and three loops (D, anti-codon, and T loops). Lineage: Eukaryota; Metazoa; Chordata; Actinopteri; Tetraodontiformes; Tetraodontidae. The record is from RNAcentral.